UACGAAGGGUGCUAGCGUUGUUCGGAAUUACUGGGCGUAAAGCGUACGUAGGCGGCUUGGUAAGUCGAUUGUGAAAGCCCCGAGCUCAACUCGGGAAUUGCAAUCGAAACUGCCUUGCUUGAGUUUGGUGGGGGAUGGUGGAAUUUCUAGUGUAGGGGUGAAAUCCGUAGAUAUUAGAAGGAAUACCGGUGGCGAAAGCGACCAUCUACGCCAAUACUGACGCUAAGGUACGAAAGCGUGGGGAGCAAACAGG
Molecule: ribosomal RNA, 253 nt
Filed under: uncultured bacterium
Lineage: Bacteria
Description: partial 16S ribosomal RNA
Rfam family: Bacterial small subunit ribosomal RNA
Source: RNAcentral